UAUAUGAACCUAUGAGUAUUGAACUAUGUGUUGAGACAAUAAUAGGAGGUAUGAUCAAUACUCACACUAUAUGCAAAUCCUGUAAACUUAAAAUAGAGAAUAAAAAGUUGCUUGUUGAUUAGAUAUGUAGGAUUUCGAUGUGAUAUUAGAAUAGAUUGGCUCACUACUUAUCAUGCCUCAGUUGACUGUCAUAAGAGAUAUGUGAGUUUCAAGAUUUUCGGUGAACCAUAAUUUAGUUUUAUGGGAAGCAUAGGAGUUGCUACUCCAUGUAUCAUCUCAACUUUGCAGGCC
RNAcentral lists this long non-coding RNA (291 nucleotides) under Elaeis guineensis (African oil palm). Its description in RNAcentral is "long non-coding RNA (EGUI_LNC026005)". The record is from RNAcentral. Lineage: Eukaryota; Viridiplantae; Streptophyta; Magnoliopsida; Arecales; Arecaceae.